AAGGGCACCACCAGGAGUGGAGCCUGCGGCUUAAUUUGACUCAACACGGGGAAACUUACCAGGUCCUGACAUAGUAAGGAUUGACAGAUUGACAGCUCUUUCUUGAUUCUAUGGGUGGUGGUGCAUGGCCGUUCUUAGUUGGUGGAGUGAUUUGUCUGGUUAAUUCCGAUAACGAACGAGACCUUAACCUGCUAACUAGUUCAUUCCAUUACAUGGUUUGCAACUUCUUAGAGGGACUAUGUGUCGAUAAGCACAUGGAAGUUUGAGGCAAUAACAGGUCUGUGAUGCCCUUAUAUGUCCUGGGCUGCACGCGUGCUACACUGAUGCAUACAACAAGUUCCUAGUCUGACAAGGAUCAAACAAUGGCAAUCUUUAAUAUGCAUCGUGAUGGGGAUAGAUCUUUGCAAUUAUAGAUCUUGAACGAGGAAUUCCUAGUAAGUGCAAGUCAUNAUCUUGCANUGAUUAUGUCCCUGCCCUUUG
This 480-nucleotide ribosomal RNA is filed under the name uncultured eukaryote. RNAcentral's name for it is "SSU rRNA". It matches the Rfam family "Eukaryotic small subunit ribosomal RNA", at positions 1160 to 1662 of the family's 1831-position model. The record is from RNAcentral.